UACGUAGGGUGCGAGCGUUGUCCGGAUUUAUUGGGCGUAAAGGGCUCGUAGGCGGCCUGUCGCGUCGGGAGUGAAAGCCCACUGCUUAACGGUGGGUCUGCUUCCGGUACGGGCGGGCUAGAGUAUGGCAGGGGAGACUGGAAUUCCUGGUGUAGCGGUGGAAUGCGCAGAUAUCAGGAGGAACACCGGUGGCGAAGGCGGGUCUCUGGGCCAUUACUGACGCUGAGGAGCGAAAGCAUGGGGAGCGAACAGG
This 253-nucleotide ribosomal RNA is filed under the name uncultured bacterium. Its description in RNAcentral is "partial 16S ribosomal RNA". It matches the Rfam family "Bacterial small subunit ribosomal RNA", at positions 524 to 776 of the family's 1533-position model. The record is from RNAcentral.